GAUCACAUUUAGGAUAGAUAGCCGUACUAUAAAGAGGGGAAUUCUUUGGCUAAGCGGUUAUCAAGUGCCACUAGGUGUCAUUGUUCAUGUGCAUGCAUUUAGAACCUAGUGAGCUAACUUAACUCCUUUGAAGAAAAUGAUUGUGAAAAUGCUAACACACGUGCACAUAUUGGUUUACACAUUGUGGUGUUGGCACACUUUGAGAAGGAGGUGGAGUUUGAAGGG
RNAcentral lists this long non-coding RNA (225 nucleotides) under Sorghum bicolor (sorghum). Its description in RNAcentral is "long non-coding RNA (SBIC_LNC016498)". The record is from RNAcentral. Lineage: Eukaryota; Viridiplantae; Streptophyta; Magnoliopsida; Poales; Poaceae.